RNAcentral lists this long non-coding RNA (924 nucleotides) under Panax ginseng (ginseng). RNAcentral's name for it is "long non-coding RNA (PGIN_LNC009095)". Lineage: Eukaryota; Viridiplantae; Streptophyta; Magnoliopsida; Apiales; Araliaceae. The record is from RNAcentral.
GUAAUUGGCCACCUUUUUCCAUAUCAAUUAACUAAAAAUCAUCUGUUAAUAACCAAAUUAACUUCCAAGAAGAAGGUGGACGAGUUAUUUAAUUUGUUGACUUGACAGUGUGUUUCUUUCUGGGUGGCGUUGAGUAGUCUUAGCUUCAAGUGAGAAAGAAAGAUAAGCAUUAUAUAGCUUCAAAUGUGUUUACAAUCUCCCCAUACUGGAGAAUUGAUCAUUGAAUAGUAAAUAAAAGAAUGCACUCAAACACCACCAAAUCCUAAUAAGACACACUAACGAGUAACGGCUGUACAUAGGUGAUAUACAUUUGAAAACUAGAUUAGCUUCCAAUCAUAAUGACAAUAUCAGCAAUAAGUACUAAGUUUUAGUUUCACUCGGAACACAAUAUCAAAAGUAAAACUCCAAACCAACCAAAAUGCAAAAAAUUGAACAUUUUUAAUGCCUUGAGCAUUCAUGGUCCCUGACUUGGAAAAAAUAUUGACCCCAAAAAUCAAGCCUAAUAUGCUAAAUGAUUGCGAAGAAAAUCAAAAUCUUCAAAUUUCAGCAAUACAUACUCAGUUAGACAUUUCUUCGAACACCUUCACCCCAAGUUAUAAACAUGAAGACAAUUGUAUACAGAUAUAUAAAAAUCUAGAAUGCUUUAUAUUCAUAUUAACACACACGGGGAUAGAUAUGCUAGUACAAGAAACUCACCUUAAGAGAAGGUUGAAUGCUUGAAUAAUGGUGAAAAUAAAAUUGAUAAAAGGGGCAAAAUUACUGCACUGCCGGAUAAACAAAUUUCAGGAUGGAAAGAAACACUCUUCAUUAAAUUCUUGACACGUAACAAUUUCCUCUCUUUAAUACGUGUACAUCAAUUAAAGAAUCAUAUUCUUUGUCUCGCAUGGCAUCUUGGGUCAUUCAUACCAUAUGGCUCAGAUAUAG